Molecule: ribosomal RNA, 449 nt
Filed under: uncultured bacterium
Lineage: Bacteria
Description: bacterial SSU rRNA
Rfam family: Bacterial small subunit ribosomal RNA
Source: RNAcentral
CAGGCCUAACACAUGCAAGUCGAGCGGGCCCUUCGGGGUCAGCGGCGGACGGGUGAGUAACGCGUGGGAACGUGCCCUCUGGUUCGGAAUAACUCAGGGAAACUUGAGCUAAUACCGGAUACGCCCUGUGGCUUUGGUGCUGCUGGGGAAAGGCUUACUGCCGGAAGAUCGGCCCGCGUCUGAUUAGCUAGUUGGUGGGGUAACGGCCUACCAAGGCGACGAUCAGUAGCUGGUCUGAGAGGAUGAUCAGCCACACUGGGACUGAGACACGGCCCAGACUCCUACGGGAGGCAGCAGUGGGGAAUAUUGGACAAUGGGCGCAAGCCUGAUCCAGCCAUGCCGCGUGAGUGAUGAAGGCCUUAGGGUUGUAAAGCUCUUUCAGUGGGGAAGAUAAUGACGGUACCCACAGAAGAAGCCCCGGCUAACUUCGUGCCAGCAGCCGCGGUAAU